Molecule: long non-coding RNA, 208 nt
Filed under: Elaeis guineensis (African oil palm)
Lineage: Eukaryota; Viridiplantae; Streptophyta; Magnoliopsida; Arecales; Arecaceae
Description: long non-coding RNA (EGUI_LNC068468)
Source: RNAcentral
UCCGUGGCAUCCUCUUGAGGUUGGCCUCCGGGGUGGAGAACCCGAUGGGAGAACCCCUCAGAGAGACUCGAGGGACUGAAGAUGGUGGAGGGCUGACAGAGAUGGCAAAGACUGGUGCGAAGGAUGCUUGGAGUCGAAAAGGACACCGAUGGAGUGGCUGAGUGGCUAAGCUCUCAGGCAGAAGAAAGGUGUCAACCCUCAGGCGAAG